AAAUAAAUUUUUAUAAAAAAAAAUAAUUAUGGCAUAAAAAGUAACCAAAAAGAAAUAUAAGCUACAGUAAUAACUUGCACAUUACUUGAAACUUGACUUCACUCCAACAGAAAUUUAAUGUAUUAAAAAAAUUUAAUAUUUAUUAAUAGUAACUGUCUUUUAUCUUCUCUAAUUAAAUUUGCUUAUGAAUAUAAUUUACAUUAUUUCUCAAAUUUAAAUUUGAAUCCAUAAAUUCUUCAAAAAAUGAUUUUGAACAAAUUUCUAUUUCUUAAUAUGAAACAAUCUGUUUCUUUUAAAUAAAAUUAUUAUGUAUUUUUAGAAGAACAAUUGCAAUUACAUAUAAUAUGAAUAUAGACUUAAUUUUUUAUAUAAAGAAAUUAUUCUUACUAAAUUAAAAUAAACUUCCAUAAAUUUAUUAUUAAAGAUACUUAAUAAUAGAAAAAGAAACACUCAUAAAUAUUUUAUAUUGUGUAUAAAUCAGUCAGUCCUUCAUAUAUACAAAGGCUAAAAUAUAUUAAAUUAUUACAUAUACAAAAAAAUGCUACCUUUAUUGGGAAAAAUAAUGUUGUUUGAUUUAACAACUUUUGCUGAAAGUUGCCAAAGCCAGAAAAUUGAGAAAUUAGAGAAAAUAAAUACAACAAAUGAAAAGAUGUAAUAAAUUUUUGUUUUCAGUUUGUUAGCAUUCAAGAUGGGAAUAAAAUGAUUUAUUUAAAUUUAAUAUCUUGCAAAACUAUAAGUUGCUUAAAAGAAAAUAGUAAAAAUGUUUAAAACCAUAAAUAAAUUUUAUUUUUCUAAAAAAAUUAUUAUACUUCAAUUGAUAAUAUAUAAUUAUUGUUUACCAUUUGCUGCAUUUUUACUUAUUAAAAAUUGUAGAUUAUAUAUUUCCAAGAUAACUUAUAAGAAAGUUGUUUUGAAAAUAAAGUUGAUUCUAAUUCACUUUUCUUGUAUUCAAGAAAUAGUUCACAAAAUGAUAGAAAUGUGAAAUUAAAAAUUUAUAUAUUUUAGUCCAUAUAUUCAAGAUAAACCCAGAAGUAGCUUGUAGGUACUAUUCGUUAUACCGUAUUUAAUGUCACAAAUGUAGAUUCUUAAAAUUUAGCUUAUAAUAGUAGUAAUUGAUUUUAAUUUAUAUUGAUCUUAUUGUUAGAUCAUAUCAGUUUGACAUACAAUAAAUAAAAAUAAGUAGAAUAUAUAAAAGUUGCACCUUUCUAUAUUCCAUAUAACAGCAAUUCCCAUCUUCAUUUAUUCAAUAUUCUAAAAAUUCUGACUAUUUUAUGAUGAUUAACUUUGGAUUAAGUAAUUUGGAAUGUGAUUUUAUUUGUAAAAGUAUUUUUAGUUAAAUCUGAUAAAUCUUUUAUUGUUCAUUUAUUUGAUUUCUCAAUUAAAUUUUUUUAGACUUGAUCUGUUUAUAAAAAUUAGAAAAAUAAAUUAUUGGUUCUAAAGAUAAAUAUAUAAGCACUAAAAUUAAUGAUUUUUGUAAUAAUGACAAAUUUUUGAAAAUUAGUUUUGCUAGAGAAUUUUUAAUUAUCAACAUAAAAAAAUAUUUUAUUAGUUAUCUUUGCUCAAAAUUCAAUUGAUAUAUUUUUUAAUUUUUACUGCAAUUAUUUUGUAUUUAUCUCAGAGACUUAGUCAAAAAAUUAAAAUCUUCAAAUUCAAGCCAUUUUUAAUAUUUAUAAAAUUGAAACAAUAAUCCUCCAAUAACAUUUUUUAAUUGUUUAGUAUUGUUUGUUUUUAGAUGAUUUGAAUGAAAUUUUAUAAAUUGAAGUUUAUUAAUAAUUAUAACUAUAAUGUAUUGUUAUUUUGAAACAAAAGGGGUCAAUUAAAAUUUAUAAAGAGAUUUACAUUUGUGAUAUUCUCAUUUAAGUUUUGUAUAUUAAUAAUUUAUCAUAUAUAAAAUUAUUGAAAAAUUAUAUCGUAAUUUGCAUUCAAGCUCCUCCUGUAAUUUCUUGUCAUUUAAAAUAAAAAAGUUUAUGGUAUCUUUAUCUUAUUUAAUAUAUUUUAAAUGAGAAGAUAAAUAUAUAUAUACUUAGAAGCUGAACUAUUAAAUUGUUUUUAUAUAAAAAUUUAUUUUUUAAUCCAAGAUUGCAUUUAAAGAAAAUUUCAAAUUCAAAUAGAAAAUAGAAAUUCAUAGUAAAUAGAAUUUCACUGUUUUCAUAUCAGAUUAUUUUCCUAAACUUUGUUUUCUAAAUUUGUUUCUUGUUACCUGUUAAAUGAGAACUAAAAUAUGGUAGAUAAUUCUUAAUCUUUGAUUUCUGUUUGCUAUUUCUCAUAUCCAUCAUCCAUUUAAUACUGUUAUUUCAGGAUCCUGUUAUUUAUUGUAAUUCAUGUAGACAUAACCUGUACCUGUACAUUUCUAUGUACUCUCUAUUCCACAUGACCUAUACAUGUGAAUUAACAUACAUCUAUAUAUUAAUUCGCAGGUACAAGUUAAUUCAAAAACUUUAACCAGUUUAUUUUAUCAGUUUAAUGUCUUGUUUACUUUAUUUUAACUAGAAACUGUGUCUAUGAUCAGACUAUAAAGUUUAAGAAGCAAGGAAUAUUAUUAUUCUGAAAAUAAAACUGAAAAUUAUUGUUUACAAUAAUGCAUAAUCAAUUUAGAAUGAAAGCUACAAACUGAAAAUAACAAUUAGAGCUUAUUAUUAAGUACAUAAUGAUUUUGAAAAAUUAGUUUGUUAAAUGCUUGAGCAUUAGAGGAAGUAUAUUUUCAGCAUUUUUGAUUUUAAAGUGGAUGAAAAAAAUAACUUAAAUUCUUAUUAAGUUACUUUUUUCAUCCACUUAAAUUCUUAUUAAAGAGUUGACUGAAAUGAUAAAUUAAUGAUUAAAAUAAAUAUUGAUACAAAAUGUAUAUAAUUAAUGGAUGCAGAGAUUUAUUUAUGAAUUUUGAAUAUUUAUUGAAAAAAAAAUUUAUAAUAAAAUUACAACAUGAAUUAAAUGUUAUUACAGUAAUAACUUUAUUGAUUUAAUCUAUUUACCAGAAAAUUAUAUUUUGAAACUCAGAUAAGUCUGCUUUGAAAUGAAUUAUAAUAAUAGUUUCAUUUAAUUUCUGUUGUAUUUGCACAUCUAUAUCUUUUUUCAAAUGUUAUAUUUAAAUGUUCUAUUUAAAAGGAUAAUAAUGGAAUUAAUAAUUUCUUUUAAUUUAAGCAAUCUGUGUGACUGCUUUUUACUAUUUUUAAAAGUAAAAAUCAAAAUUUUAUCAACACAAAAUUAUAAUGUUAAUAAUUAUUUAUUUGCAAUAGGAAUUUUUAUGAUAGAAUAAUUACUUUGAAAUUUUUUUGAUAUUUUAUACAAUAUUAUUGAUCAAAAAUGGUAUAAGUGACAAAUUGUGUGAUGAUAAGUUAAAACUAUAGCAUGGAGAUAAAAGUUCGAAUCAAAAUUUAAAGUAACAUUAAAGCAAAAAUAAAAAUAUAAAAUUUUUUUAAUGAUUUGCUAUUUCCUACUUAUUAUGCUGUUACUAUUGAUAUUUAUCAUAUUCUUAUGAUCUUAGAUAAUUAUUUUCCUAUGUAUAGUAUAGUUUUCAGUGUUAAAAACAAUUACUGAAUCUAUAUUUGUAAACAGUAUUAAAAUAUAAAUUAUACAUAUAAAAAAUUUUGAUUCAUGUUAAAUUAAGAAACAUGAAUUUUACAAAAUAUGUUGGGCAUAUAAACUGGAAGAAAAUGUAAUUUGGUCCACAGAAAUAAUAUUAAAUUUAGUAUUUAUAUAAAAUCUUUUGAACAUAUUAAUAUCACAAUAGUUAAAAUAGAAAAACUGCUUUUGUUCAUACAACAAAAUAUGAUGUGUAUCAAUAUUUUAUAUCUUUGAAUAUAUACUUUAUAUAUAAUAUAGGCCACUGUUAAUAUUUAAUUUUAUUGCUGACAUUGUUAUGUUUCUAAUGCUAAUUUGUAGUCUAAGAAAUUUAAAAUCUCUGUUUAAAAUAUAAUUUUUAAGGCAAACUUAUAUAGAAAAAUAUAACUAGCAUAAAAUUUCAAGUGACUAAUGACAAAAGAUCAUAUAGCAUGAAGAUCAAUCUUUUGAUCUGAACUUAUUUCAUUGUUAGAAUCUUGAAAAGAAUUCGUUUAUCAAUAUCUUUAAUUAUAAUCUGAAUGUUUUUAUUGUUGAUCUCGUGAAACAUUCAAAUUGCAAAUACUGCAUGCUCAAAAAAUUUCUCUCUUGGUUGAUUAUCAUAAUAAAGAUAUUCCAGUUGUCUUGAAUAUUUUUAUGCUAAUCUUUAGUAUUAUUUCUAAUGGAAAAAGUUUUUAGUAAUAUAAUAGAUUUUGUACAAUGUAUUUUAUUGUUAAUAUAAUCUAUUACAUAUAGGAAGUGUACAUAAAAACUGGUUUUCUUAUUUCAUCACUUACACAGAUAAUGCUCAGAAAAAAAAUAUACAUAUAAAUUUUUGAAAAGUGUCAUUAAAAAAAAAUUAUUUAAUUUGUAUGUGUGUAAUCUAAAAACAAAUACAAUCAUUCAGGGAUUUUAUGAAUAUUUGCAUAUUCAUGUUCCAGGUUAAUGAUAAAAAUCUCAAUGAUAACAAAUUGAAAAUUUGAAGAAUACUUUAUCUAAAUAGCAUUUAUAACGUGUUAGACUUCGAAUGAAAACUUACACUAAUAGUUCAAUUGAUUAAUCAAAUUCCAAAUUAAAAUUUUCAAGAAAUUACUUCACAAUAUAUAUAUUUUUUUCUUUCAAAUGACAACUGUUAUCUAAAAGAAACUAUUCUAUUCAUCCCGAUUUUCUAUUUUUAAUAAAUAUUUUCUCUGUUUUUUGUUAUAUAUUUUUUUUAACUAAUUUUUAUUUUGAUUAUUCUAAUCUUUAUAUUUGUAGUUUUGAUUCACUGCUUUUAUAAGUGUUAUACGGUUAAUAUAUUAAUUAUUUUGAAUUGUAUGAAUACAGUGAUUACAUUUUUUGGAUUUCUUGUGAUAGCAAAAUCUCAAAAAUGCGUGUACCAGAAAAUUUAUUUACCAAUCAUUCAAAUUCAAAUUUUUUAAUAACCAAUCAGAAAAUAUUUAAACUUCCAAAAAUUUAAAUUUUCUUCGUAUUGGUUAUUUUGAAUUUGAAUGUGUAAUUUUUGAUAUUUUGCAUAUUUAUAAUAAAGUUGGUUAUUUUUUUUCAUAUUAAAUAUAGUUUUAUUACAUAUGUAGAUUUAAAUAUUUAUGAUGGUCUUUAAUGAAUUAUUUCUAUACCUGGUAGGCUGUUUUUCAUAAAUAAUAGUUGUGAUAUGGAAGUUAUCUAUUGUUUAAUCUCAUAACUAAAAAGUUGCCACUUAUUCCAUACGUAGAAUGGCUGUUUAAUUGCUUUUGCAAAGAUAUGUAAUUACACUGCUCUCUUAUGUGGAAUAAAAUAGACAACACUGAAUCUUUAUUUUAAAAAAGUAUAUUUAAAUCAAAUCUAUGAUAUUUAUACAUCAAAUAUAUAGCAAAUUAUUCUAUUUAUUUUUCACAAACAAAACAAUUAUGAAAUUAAAGUAAAAAAUGUC
RNAcentral lists this long non-coding RNA (5443 nucleotides) under Androctonus crassicauda. The record is from RNAcentral. Lineage: Eukaryota; Metazoa; Arthropoda; Arachnida; Scorpiones; Buthidae.